CACUUUUAAGAUCGGUCAUAAAAUAACCAAUCUUAAAAGUACUUUUAAGAUAGGUUAUUUUAUAACCAAUCUUAAAAGUU
This 80-nucleotide microRNA precursor is filed under the name Cajanus cajan (pigeon pea). RNAcentral's name for it is "miRNA gene-KK1_032506". Lineage: Eukaryota; Viridiplantae; Streptophyta; Magnoliopsida; Fabales; Fabaceae. The record is from RNAcentral.